Molecule: long non-coding RNA, 901 nt
Organism: Betta splendens (Siamese fighting fish)
Lineage: Eukaryota; Metazoa; Chordata; Actinopteri; Anabantiformes; Osphronemidae
Exons: 3
Source: RefSeq, a predicted model, not a curated record
AGUGCGUUACAGUGUGUUUGCACUGAGAACAAAGGCUCACUUCAUACAGAGCACAUGUGUUUUCAGCAAGUUGUGUUGAAGUAAAUGCCUUUUUACUUAUGAGUCCGUCUUAUUGGUGCCUGGUGCACUUAGACGUCUGCACUGCUGCUCUGGAGGUGGAGCUGCAGCAAACAGGGUGAACAGGAGCGAUGUUUCCAUCAGCCUCAGGCCUCAGGAGUCACAGGAGCCGUGACACGAGCCGUGCCUCAGGACGCACCACUGCUACGGACUGUUUCACUGUCGCCCUCUGGUGGCAAAACCAAGCACUAACAUUCCACAUGUUAUCGUCAGGAAGGCACUGUAUGCAUGUGAUGCCUCCAAUAUACAGUCAUAUAUAUUGGUGCAGUCUUCCAUGAAGAACCAGGUCCAGCUCCGUGAAGGACUAGCGCCUCCUAGUGGACGUCUGAAGCUCCCACAGUCAGUCCAUCGGUCUGGAACAAGUCCCGUCAGUAACUUAGUAACUGUCAGCUAGUAAUUAAACACCCACUAAUAUUGGAAAGAUUUGAGUUUAGGGAAGAAGACAAAAUGAUGAAAUAAAAAAUAAAGUUGUACUAAACAAAUGUGAGCUCCAGAGAAGUGAUGCUGUUAUGUGUUUAUUCAGCGCAUAAAUCCUGUCAACACUGAAUCCACCCAUCACUGACGGCUCCAUUAGCUCCGUGUCAGGGUGUGUCUUCUCCAUCCUGAAACGUGAGCAGUUCCAGUCACAACCAAACUGGACACUCGUCAAAUAACCGACGGCUACCGGUCCAUAGGAGGAUUCAUAAUUCAUGGUGAUCUCUUCAAUCUGCUUGAGCUCAACCAGGGAGAACGGUGCUUUGGGGGAAGGAUUAAAUAUCAGUCAGGAUUAUCAUCAUCAGCUUGA